GGGCUUGCUGCUUUCCAAGCAUUUCUUUUGGCUUUGAGGAGCAAAAAAAAAGAAAAGAAAAAAAAAAAAGCAAACCAAAUGAAAGAAAUCUGUCCAAGAUCCCUUUGUUAAAAAAAAAAAAAAAAAAAAUCAGAAUUCCUCAAUUCCUCCCCGUAAAUGGGAGGGGGAGAGGAUCCUUGGAUCAGCCGCGCUGCGAAGCGGGACUGGGCAGGAUUGUGCCAAGCGGGACUUUUCCUGCUGCCAGAGCUCCUCCGCAGCGUCACUCGCUGCCGGGAAGGGAGGGAGCGCGGUGUGUGUCUGCCGGGGGCACGGUGCGGAGCGGGAAGAGAUCCUCCGAGAACCCCCACUGAAGCAGAAGCAUCUAAAACAUAUCCAGAGAGGUCUGCAGAUCCGGUGGAGAUGGGAGCUCCUGUGCCUUUCCUCAAUGCUCUGCCUAAAACCUCCACUCUCUGGUGGCGAGGAGCCUCUCGGUUGGCCAAGGCCCCAUUCCAAGGAGGGAAGAUGCACCCUGCCCCUCUGCCAGCCCGGUCAGAUUUGGCUGCUGUGUCAGGAGUUCUGGUCAGGUGGGACUGUUUUGGGAAAGGGGUGAACUCACGGCUAGACAUUUUUCCCUGGCAUCCCCCUGCUCUCCCCUGUCUUACUGUGGAAUGAGAGAAGAAUGGUGAGGGAAACUUCUCGGGUUAUCACAGGGUAUCUGUCUAGCAGGGCCCGUCUGUGCUGUUAUUGCUUCUUACAUUCUGGUGUUGGAAACCACUCCUCCUGUUCUGCAUGGUCUGUCGGUGGCUGCUUCUCUCAGACAGUGAAUGGCAGGCUGUGUGGGUAGGGUUUCUCUUUUUUUCUCUGAUUAUUGAUUUUUGCUUUGUACUUUAAGUUCUUUCUUGACGGUGGCACCAAGUGGUGUGGAUGAACUGUUAGACCUGGGUGACCCCAGGCACGCAUGUGAGUGUCCUGUGCAGACUAGAGGCAGCCUGGGCUCCCUGCAUGCAGACAAAGCCUGCUAUUGCUCUGACCGUGUUCUGUCCAAGUGGCACAGUGGGUGGCAUUCUGCAACCCACUUCCCUGGUUGAAAAAUGGCCUUGAUGCUACUUCCUUACCCUGCAAGGGUCCUGAGCAUUAAUCACGGAAGGUGGCAAGGUGCUCCAGUGUAGUAAAUAAGAGCAAAGAAACAGCUAAAAUAGGAUGGAAGUUUUUCCCCAGCCUCAUAGAAAUGGGUCUGAAAUCUCCAUCUCUGAUGGUGUUGACACUCUUUGGCAAGUAUGAGUUGAGAACCAUUGGCUCUAACGAGUUUGAGCUGCCAGCCCAUUACUCUAACGCAGCACCUCUGCCCCAGAUAGGAAGUUCUCUCCUCCAAGCACCAGCAGGGCUUGCUGCGUGCUUGCCUCCCUGCCUGUGUAAUUGAGCAAGGCCAAUGUAUUGCGCAGGGUCGGCUGCUGAUUAUUGCUCCUGGUGUGAGCUAAGGCUGCUUACAUUGUCAGCUCAGAAAUAUUGUUCACACAAACGGUGCUAACUCCCUGGGCCCUUGGGUACUCUUCAGUGGUAGGAAUUAAACCAAGUGACAGAGCAGCACAUCACCCUUCUCAGAGCAGGCAUAAAUUUUAGAGGUUGAGCUGAACUUUAUUUUGGAAAGUACCAGACUGCGGUGCUGGUUACUGCUGGAAAGCACAUUUCCAUCUAUGACCCCCCAAAAUUAAAGGAAAACUGAACGUGGUCUUCCUUAGCAAGCUGGGCUAGAGCGUUGAUGUUUAAUUGUCUGUGUGAUGGUUGGUCAAGAAGAACGGCUUUAUGAUUUCUGAUUUAUCAUUCAUAACGGUCUGACUCAACAGAUCACACUGCUGGUUCUGUUCAGCCCAGAGGUGUUCUCAGUGCUAAACUAGAAUCCUUUGGCAGCACCUAGAGAGCAUCCCUGGGAGCGGCUGGGCUGCCUGGGGCAAGGAUGGGGCUGCCCCAUCCGCUCUCACCUCAGGUUUGCUUUUGUUAUUGUAUUUGCCCCAAAAGGAGGAAAGAGAUUGAUGGUCCUCUAUGCCAGGUUUCUGUGUCUGGUUAUUCCUUCUUCUGCGGUAGAGUAGAAUUCUGGAGAAGGACUUGACAUCAGCUCUCUGUAUUUAGGUUCCAUUUAAUUAUAUCGGGAAAAGCAAAGCUCAGCUUGCAACGCUUGCUGGAAGGAAAACCACUUGCACCUGUCCUGGUUUACCGGUGAGUGUGGUGGAUCCCAACUCUUCACCUCUUCACUCUCUCUGGUGACCCUUUGGUUCAGUGUCUUUGGGUCUCUGUCUCUCAUUGCCUGAUGCAAUUAUCGUUAAUCGAGGCAAUGUACCUGCCCACAGCUGAGUCGCUUCAGCAGAGCAGCAGCAAUGGAGCAGUGCUUCACAGAGGGCAGAGGCUCCUCCGCAAAGCGCCGGCUGUGGUUGGAAAAGCUCAUUGAAUACACUGGGAAAGAAAAUCUGUCAGCCCGUGACAGGGAUUAUUUUAAUAACCUAAAAUCUUAUUGCUUCUGGAACAUCUGCUCUUUGGUGGAGCAAACAAAUAGGUUUUAAUUUCAUUGCCUUAACUUCAUGGAAAUAAAUUUGAAAAGCGCAAUAACCGAUAUUAUUUAGGGCAACAGCAUUAUCUUUUUCACAUCAGUCUUAACAGGAAAACUGCAGGAAGUACAAAGCCAAUAGAAAUACCUCCAAUCUCAGACCCUUGAAAUAGCUGCAACUUAAUAUACCACAGCUGGUAAAAGAAAACUUCACCUGACCCUUAAGUUUGCAGAGGAGAGCAGUUACCAAGUCAUUCCUUUGGAGGUGAUGCGGUAAGGUGGUGUUACUCACUAACGUUCCUUGUCUAUAUGGAGGCUAAUGUAUUCCUGUUGUACUUAAUUAGUUUUGAACCUGUGUGUGUGAGAAAUGCAGCGCAGGGCUGUUAUUAAAAUUCAUGCUUUAUAAUAAUUAGCACAGUUAGUGCGGUCUCUGAGAACUGCCAGCCAAAGGACCAUUAGCUUUGGUUAAUGGUGGAACUGGCUCACCCGUGCUAUCGUUUAACCCACUGCUGUGUUCUUAAGGAGAAAAGUUGUGAUCGUUCUCAAAGACUGCAUCAGGACAGCCAUUAAUUACCAGAACUCAUUAAUUAUAACAGAUUGUCUGCUAUAAAAUCUCUUUAACUCAACUUUUGCGAUGAUCAGUAGGGAAAUUGUGACAAAUAUAGGCGGAACUGUCCCUUUUAAAUGGCUGGUGUUUUAUCUCUCAUCGAAUCCCUAUCUGAAAUUGAGAAAAAUGAUUAAUAAGGUUCAGAAACUCAUUCUUCACAAGAUCAAAGUCAUAAAAUUCUGUUAAUUCCCUUUGAGACAGAAAUAGGAAUUAUAGUUUAGAGACUUUUCCCUGCGACUUUUUGUUUCAUUUUACAACUCUCUAAUUGUUCCCCAAACGUAUCUCCCUUUGUAUUCCACUGUAAACGAAUUUGCUGAGCUAUCAGGAACUCAAGAAAAACCUCUUAGUUAAAAAGUGCCUCUUGCAGGAGCAGCUGAAAAGCACAAAUUCCACAAAACCAAAGUGAUGCCUUAUUCCUUGUCAUUCCUUACACGUCCGAAGCCUUUGGUCUUGUCUUUUUGGUAAGCCUCGGCCUUGUCUUGUGGUUCAGGACUCAUGGCUGAGCAUUUACAGGCAGAAUUUCAGCUGAGCUUUCUGAAUUUCUUGAAAGCACUUUUACCUCGAUGUUUUAACUCUUCUAGUGCCAGGUUAUUCCCAGAGCAACUCUCAUUGCUUUGCCCUGUCUCACAUUGCUGUGUGGCUGCAAUGUCACCAAUCUAUGAGGCAUCCGCUCUACAGCCUACAGGCGUGGAUCUUUUCUGGCAAAAUUCCCCUAGAAGCAGUUUUACCUUUGGUAUUUAAGAAAAAUCUUGUAGGGUGCAAACAUGCAUCCCUAUUCUUAAUGGUUAUUUAGAGAGCAAAGUGUUUGGGUGUGCUUGAAAAUAGCCCUGGGCACCUAUUUGCAUGUGUAGGUGCUUAAAGAUCUGAGAAAAACGACCAUCUGGUGCCUCUGGACUCAGAUCCUCAGAAAAUACAUAGAAUACUGAAAUGAAGGGAAUUCAGGCACCUGCAUUUCUGCCCUUCAAUUUUAAAAUAUCUUUGAGCCCUUACUUUGUAACAGAAGGAACUGAUGACCUGGUGGCUAAAUAGUAUUGUCAAUUCAAAGGCAGCCAGUUCUUGGAAUAAUUUCUGAGGCGUUUUGAGCUACUUCUUUUCCAUAUUUUUCUUUGAUCUUUUUGUAGUAAAAUUUCAAAUUUAAUCUUUUAUUUCCUGGAUUGACUACAAGAGAGGAUUUGCUUUGCUGUGCCAGGGUGCAAAUUAUUUUCUUGUUAGAAAACCAAAACCCAUUAUCUGUGCUUUUACUUGGCGCAGAAGACAGAAGCAUUAGUACUCGAACACAGCAUGUUUUCUGCUCUGUGCAUGCUAUGAUGGCUGGAAAUCAUGAAAUUUGGAGCUGAAGAGCACUUCACCCCACAUCUGGGAGGAUGUUCGCACUGAGAUCUGAGUAACUCCCCGUGGGCAGCUGCCAGCAUUUCGGCUUUUAUUUUUGUCACUGGAUUGAAUGGACCCUGAGAAGCACUGGGAAAAAAAAAACGUACUCCUAAGCCUAGAUGAAGUUCACAGGUGCUUCAAGGUGACACCUGGGACAGAGAAUUAGUAAAAUUAUCGUUCAUUUCAACAGUGGCUCUUUAAAUGUGGGGACAGCAUAUUGAUCCUGAGCCUGCUACGUGAUCAUUUUCCUUCGGCAUCAGUGGCAUUUCCUGCCAAAAUUCAUCAGACGCUCCUUGACGCUGGGCCAAUUUCCUGGCUUGCACGUUGUCAAUCAGGUGGAGAUCCAAAUGUUCGCCCACGUCUCCACCGUUUUCUUUCUCUCUGACUCCAUCAGGAGCACAUGACACAUCCGUAGAUCAUGGGAGAGAGAAGCAGGUUUGCUCUCCUUUCUCUCUCUGCUGGGGGAAAAAAAAAAGACUCUCAACUGUAUAAUCAUCUUCCUAUAAAAUAAAUUGCUUUAUCUGUCUUAAUACUGUCACUCUUCAGUUCUCCAGUGAUCUACUUCUUCCAUCUGUGUGCAUAACUGAAAUCUUCUCUCCACCUACUCUAUGUACUUCCAAGUGUCAAAAUCCUGCCUCAAUCAUUGCUGUCAUCAGUCUCUCAUUCCUGGCGGGAUAAGCGGGCGAAACAUCAUGGUUCCUCAGACCUCUUUGGGUAACUUCUGUGCUCACUUUGCAGAGUUGAGGUGAACUAUCAGAAAUAUGACCUAAAAGAGUUUUGUUUUGUUUUGGGUUCUUUUUUUUGUCAGCUGAAGCUUUCCACUUUCUGCUCCUGAAACAAGUGGGUAUUUUUAUUGCUUUCUGGGUCUUGCUUCCACCAUGACUCUUGCUGCAGCGAGGCAUAAUUUCAGGAGAUAACCACAUUACCCAAAUCCUAUGAAAGUUGACUUACUGCUUUGUAUUGAGUAAUUCUGCAUGACUCACACUUUGUUCUCUGAUAUAAUUUUUACACUUGUUCACAGAAUAUCGUUGAGACAAUUGAGCUUGCUUACAGAAAUCACCAUCUUUUGUAAAGCGACAGUACAAUCGCUUUCCUCUUUCACAAAGCCACUCCAAGAACAAUGGGCCGACCCAUAAAUAACAACCAUUUGUUUUGCUUAGAACGUGGAUUCUACUUUGCUAAAUGAAAUAACGGCAGGGAAAAGAAAGAAGCCUUCUUAGAAGCCGUGCAUCUUCCCAGAUAAUGUGGCAACGCGCCUCUCCUGCUGAGCCGUGACCUACUUUGCUUACAAAAUGCUCUUGCUACCUUCCCCCAAACACGAGGCUGUUGAAGCCCCAGGAAUUCUUCACCUUGGGUGUGAAACCGUGAAGUGUCAGUCACCACCAGAGGAUCCUCAAUGGUUUCCCUGUCUGGCGGCACUGCGCUGCUUAUCACAUCCCCUGCGAAUGCCUCCCUUCUCAUCACAUUGAUGCUGGGAUCAGUUUUUAUCUCUGCUCCAACAUACACGUACAGAGCUGGAUGAAUUUUGCCAUCUUGUGAGAGGUUUGGGUACUUUUUUUGGACUGGGUUUAUUUUUGGGUUAGCUCGGUUAAAAUGUUUUGCUCUGCUGUCAUCUUUUUUUUUUUAAUUCCUUCAUAUUUUUUACUACUGAAAAGGAAUCCUUUUCCUCUAGCUAAUAUGUUAUGUGCAUCAGAACUUGGUAGCAUGCCUGUUCACGGAGAAACAGGAGUUGAGAUCGAGCAUCAACAGCUGUGGGAAUGACCUGCGCCAUAUGGGACAUACGACAAUUACCGAGUCUAUAUUACAUAAGGAAUAAAAUCAUGCCACUUUGCUAAAGCAUGUAAGGAAAGAGAACUAGAACAUGAUGACAAAUGACUGCUCCCGAUGAGAAAGGUCCUUAGAUGUACUAUCAUGUUUUUUUUGGCUUUACAACAAACGCAUACAAUCCACUUGUUAAAUUCAAGUCCGUUGCAUGGCAAAGGCAGCAUCCCUCGGCUUUGUACUUGCCUUAGUUAAGCAGCACAGCACUUAAAUAUAGAAGUUGAGUUUGUCCAUCAGGUUUUGCAUUUGUGACUCACAACCAAAGUUACUGAUCACAGCACACAGACGUUAUUGCCCGCUGGGCAAUGCUCAGGCUCGUUAUCUGGGGCAGAUGAUUAGAUUUUAAUGCCGCAAAGCAUCAUCAGAGUCAGAAGGUAAAUAAAUGUUUUGUCAGAUGGAAAAAUGUUUCAGAGCUUGAUCCUGUUUGUUUAGCAAAAGGAAGUCUGGGAGAUGAUGCUAUACAACCUAUGUACGCCCUUAUGGGAGAUGUGCUGCACCCUCAAGAGCCACCUGCAAGAACUGAUGGCCCCAACCUGUUGCUAACCCAAGGCAAACCUUUAAGCACUGGGGAAUUAGCAACAAGCCAGAAGGAAAAUGGUUCAUUCCUUAGGUCUUAUUUUCUUUUAGCUACAACUGGGUACCUUUCAAGAUGACACACUUGCAUUAAACAACUCCUAAUGUCAUGCAAAAGGCUGGAUAUCAUCAUCUGUGAUACCCAGGAGGUUGGAUCACAGCUCUUUGCCACUGCCAGUGCAAGUCUUUGAACCAUCUCAUCUCAUCUCAUGCCUGGCAUUUGCUGGUAUCAUGUAACAGAAUACGUACUCUAUUCACCUUACAUUUUUGACUUAAUUCUUUAUCAGCACUGACUCUCUUAUUCCCAGCGGAGAGCUGAGCAGAGCUGUGUGGAGCCCCUUCCCCUCUGCAUGGGGAAUUCCAGUGCCUGCCUUGGCACUAGGGGAAAUGCUAAUGGUGUCGAACCUAAUAAGGUGUUGGCAACACAGCUUGCAUGGUGAUCGAAAGACCUUAGUUUAAUUGACAAGCUGCCUCUGGGAGCUGAUCCCAUGUGCAAUUUUCUUCCUGAAUUUGGAACUUCAAGAUGCAUUGAAUGGCCUUAUUGCACGUUUUUCUGCUUGAUGUUUGGAUACCAAUUUGUAUGUUUCUCAGGAGUAGAAAUAUUGUGUAUUAUAUUUCAUAGAAUCAUAUUUACACACGUAUGACUUUGUAAUGAAAGAAAGUGUACACAGAAGAGGCAGAGUUAAGGUCAGGUUAUUUUUAGACUUGUUCUAAAACAAUAUAGCCCCCAAAAUCAGUCCUGAAGUUCUGUUACAGGUAGGUACAGCUUUCCAUGCUUUAAAUGAUCUGAAGUCCCUCUUUGCAAUAAUUCUGAAGCUCUUUACCUAGCACUUAUGAUUUCAUUUUGCUUUGCACUUUGUCUGCUUGUGAUAUUGUUUUGCUUGCAUUUGCAGAACUCAUCCUUGCAUGUAGAAAGAAGCUGUCUGCGAGGUGUCUUCUAGGAAUAAAAGCUCUAAUCUGCUGCACUGGGUUUAAUAAAUAUUUCAUCAUCCACCGUUUGGAAUAUUCUCCUGGUGAACCUCAGCAGCUGCACGUCGUGAAAAUAAUGCCUGGUUCGAGAGUGGGGGUUUGCUUCCAUGUUCUGGGCAGUGCACAACUGUACGUCUUGAUAUCGCAGAUAAUCUGGGUUGCUCCUAUCUCAGGGCCUGUACUUCUAUCUCUGUGCAACGCCAUCUCACAGAAGCAUUUUGCAGAAUAAUGACUCUCACUGUCUGUUUCACAAACAGACGUAUCACAAAAGCAUUUGCACUACCGAGGUCGCUGACAACAUUGUUCAAAGAGGAGGAGGAGAACUCACCCAGCGAUGCCCGAUCCAGCUACAAUCCUAACUGAGCUGAUAGUCCUAUCAGAAGCACAGAUUUCAGCCUGAUGGUUGCCAGCUCCAAAAUGUGACCAGAGAUAGAAACGCUAAAUGGAUGUCUCCUGAUAACAGCAGGAACUUGAAUUAACAACCCCCAGCUGCAGUCCUGGAAGCUGGAAGGACAUGAAGACACAGGUACACAGAGAUGGAAACGAUCUCCACGUGAUGAGGAAAGCAGUGCACGAAGACCAUUCCCUACACCUUGCACCAGCCGAAGUGCCGAGCUCCAAGUGCGCAGUGGGAAUUGCAGAGCUUCAUUUCUGAAUGAAGACAUUUCCAUCCAAUAUUUUGGCUUGCCUGGACUGCAUUGAGUGAAGAGGAAUUGUCCUUGGCCACCUACAAAAUAUAUACUUAGUUAAUGUAUCUUUGCAGUCACCUGAGCCUGUGAAAACCUCAUAUCUCAACAUACGUGACCUGAUGCUGAACCUCUCGGUCUACAUCCAUGCUACAGAACACCAGCCCCACUGCAAGCUCUGGGCACCCAGCUCAGCCUUGCCAACUCCUGUUGCCUUCUCUCUACUCUGGGUAUUGAUUUUCCUGCCAAGGCAACCCCAAGAUGCAGAGGCAGAAGCUAUGGCAGCAUUGUUCUCAUCUUGUGCCAGAGAGCCAAGGCUGGAUGUGUUCCUCCUGACACUGCCCUGGAGGGGACAGCGGGAGGUGUCUGAGCAGCACUGUCACCUGCCCCGUGUCCGCGUGAUGACAACAGUAAAUCUCCCAUGGAGAACUCCUCCUGGGGCAGGACAAGGGCAUCCAUUCAGCACUGCUUUCUGAUGCUCCUUGCCUUUCCCGAGCUCUCUACCUACUUCUGCUACUGUUAAACAAAUCCUUCUGACUCUGGACCAGAGAAGAAGCCCCUGAGACAUAAUGCAGAGCUCAUUCUGCCGUGGCUGCUGGGCGUAUUCCUGCCUCCCCAGAGGCUGACUGGGACAUCUUAAUCCAAAGGAAAACAAAUCUACAUGGAAGAUGGAAGUCAAGUGAUGUUUUCCAGCCACCUCGGGCACUGAGCUGCUGGUGCAAGGUUUCAGAAGUUUCCCUUUAGAGCUUUUGGACCCUUCUCCUCCUGCAUUGCCAGAUAAGUCUCAUAUGAAUAUUAAUUGGCAUUGACAUGAAGUGUAAUUCUGUUACCCAGCUGCAGCCUAGUGCAGGUCAACAUGUGUUUGUGGUGUGCAAACCGUGGUUGUCAAUGGGUGGAUUUAUGGUGAGAUUUGUGGUGCUUCUGUUUGAAGUUGGAAAAUAAGAGUAUCCAUGAUAAAAGCAUGGUGGUUAAUGAUAAAUUUUAUCUUCCUCCUUCAAAAAAACGUGAGAAGUGCUAAGAUUAAGCUGAGGCUGGAGGCUAGUAGGAGAAAGGCAAAGGCACAUCGAGGAGUUCCAUCCCUGCAGCCCUUGUGUUUGCACGGAGCCCUUUUAAUAACUGUGAAUAAAGCACUGUUCUUCCAAUUCACUUUCUAAAAUGAACCAUCCAGAUGGCUGUAAGACAAAACCUAGUCGUCAAGCUGAGUAAUGUGUAUUUUGAGCAUAUUAACAAUGGGACGUGUAGAAUUGUGCUGAAUUAUGCAGAAUGCCACUCAAAAAGAUACACAUGCAGAAGCAGGAAUAUCACAAGCAUCAAACAGCCAUGGUUCAUAAUGUCGUUCUGGGCCUAACCAGAAGGAAAACCUUUUUAUAAGGGUGGUGAGGUGCUGGCAUGGACUACACAGAGAAGUGGUAGAUGCCCCAUUCCUGGAGACACUCAGGGUCAGCCUGGAUAACCUGAGCACCUGAUGGAGCUGUGCCCUUGUUCACUGCAGGUGAGUGGGACCUGAUGACCUCGAAGGGUCUCUUCCAGCUCAGAUGAUUGUAUGAUAUAGUGCUACGUGAUGAUUAAUGUUAUUUUUGAAUUUCUGAGGGGAACUGGAGAAAACAGACAGCUUUUCUUAUAGUCAGUGAGAAUACAGCUAUAUGGCUGAGCCUACACUGUGUUUCUUCUCUGUUGCUUGCCCCCGGGAUGUCCAAUUGAAACUUGGAAAAACAAUCUGAAGAUCAAAAAGACGUGUUGACAGAGGCAGGCAAAACCCAGACGUUCUGCUGGGGCUUCAUCUGUGAGUAACAUCAUCAAGAGAUUUUCCAGCCCCCUCUGCCCAAACUCACAAGUCCACUGAGUACUCGUAGCAAAGGGGCUGGGGAGUGCAGAAAUGAGUGCCCUAUUGCCUCAUGGCACGCUCAGUAGGAGGUUUGAUGUGUUUUAACAGCUUUUACUGCCUGAAUGGCAACGAAUAGUCACAAGGUCUGUAAUCUGAGGGUUGCUGGAAGGGUCUUGCUGGCUCCCCCCAGUUCUUUGUGUUUCCUGAUUUCAUUCCUUGAGCUUCCCAACUCCCACAAGAGUCAAAGCUCUCGGUGCCCAGUGUUGUGGGGGCUGCUGUGAGAGCACAGCCUGCAAACUGCAGAACUCCUGCUGAGAAAAACAUCACCUGGAACUGUUUGUCCACUGCACGGCCAUUUCCGUAAGCAAACUUUGUGCUGAAGUACAGCGUGAGUAAUUGCUCUAUUUAUUUUUCUUUACCCGAAUGCAAUUUUUAUUUGCUGUGAAAUCAAGUCCUUUCCCUAGCUGCAAGCAUGCGAGUGACUUUUGUGUGUAGGAAGACUGUAGUGGCACAGUGGAGAAAUAAAACUAUCGGGAACUCUUGAGGAAUAAAUUCAAACCCUCAUUAAUCCCUGUGGGCUGCAUCUCCAAUCUGGGUUUCGUGGAACGUGGGUGGUAUUCUCAAAGCGAUGGAACUGGUUGGCUUCGAGGGCUGACUUAGAUGGUACCAAUAUGGUUCUGAACCGCAGUCCUCUGCCCAAGGAAAAUGUAGGCUGGGGUUUAUGCUGGGUAUGUGCCCAGAACUUGGGUUUGCUGGAGAGCAUUGAGGCUUCAAGGAGUGCUUGAAGCAGUGGGACUGACACGGAGCUGCUGAUGGGCUGGCUUUGAUUUCUUGCAUAUUCACUUGUGUGCUUCUUAAAUGUUUUAUUAUUAUUAUUACCAUUAUCAUAAUUAUUGUUCCUCUUCAUUUUAUUAUUAUUAUGACUUCUUUAACUCAGAUUUUCUGCUGUAAAAUUCCAAUUAAAGUCAAAGGAAGCUUUGUGGAUGUCAUCCCACUAAUUCUGUGUCAUUCCUGCCCCUCAUCCAGCUCUCAGAGGACUCUGCCGGUGCAUCUUGGAGACCUAAAUGUCAGGAAUGAGUUUAAACCAGGUUUGGAACAGGAGAGGUGCACUUGACUCUGGAGCUUUUGCCUGACUCUUAAUUGCAUCUGGUAGCAUAAAAUUCGCUGAUUUAGGCUGUCAUAAUGCAAAGAUUUCUGACUCAUCACUGCAAGAGGAACAGCAAGAAAUAGAUUUCUGGAAGUUUAGUUUAUUACUGAAGGAAGUGGUGUCUUCUGCUAAGGACAGGCUAUGUGCCUAGGAAUAGUGAAGGCCAAUAGCUAAACUCCAGCUCCAAGAAGUCUGGAGGGAUGCAUGUCUGAGGGAGUUCUAUUAGAAUCUGGAAAGUGUGCAUGGGAGUGUAUUGCAGGGGAGCGGGGCUGGCCUGCUGCUGUCGCUUACAUUGCUAUCUCAAAUAUUUUGGUACUUAGAAUUGCAGAAUGGUUUGGGUUGGAAGGGACCUUAAAGCCCACCCAGUUCCAGCCCCCACAGUGGGCACUGACACCUCGCAUAGCUCAGGUACCCACAGCCCCCUCAGCCCAGCCCUGAGCACCACCAGGGAUGGGCACCCACAGCUCUCUGGGCAGCCAGUGCCAGGCCCUCAUCACUCUGACAGUGAAGAAUUUCUUUCUAUUUUCAGAGCAAAAUCGACUUAUCUAGUAUGUCUUCAUUAUGAACUGUAAAUAUAGGUGUUUUCCCUGUUUUGGAGGUAAUACUAUUAAAAUUCAAAGGAUGGCUCAGGAAAGCUCUGCUUAGUUAUGUGAGAUGAUGGCAGGACUGUGGUUUUGUUUUCAAUUCAAAACGAUUUCUUUUAGGCUUGUGUGGGCGUGGAUGGGAGCAGCACCGAAUCGCACUGUUCUUACAUUAAGCGUGAAACCGAAUCAUGCUGCUUUUAAAGGAAGCGUGAGUAGCUGAACCUCUCCUUUGGGUAAGCAGCAGGUGGUGGUUUGGCUGCAGAGACAACGUGUAGAUGAAGUGCAAAUUUUGCUUACAGAGAUUUUUAUCUCCGUGCAGGUGGGAGUAAGUGCCAGACAAGGAAGAAAAACCCAUCUGAGCGUGAAUCAAAUUCAAGUCGAGAAAUGCUGAAUUUCCCCCUAACAAGCAAGCGUCAGUUCCACAUUCCCUUGGUUUAAUGACACGGUUUAGAAAGAGAAGAG
Long non-coding RNA from Numida meleagris (helmeted guineafowl), 12563 nucleotides. RefSeq lists it as uncharacterized. The record is from RefSeq and is a predicted model, not a curated record. The transcript is spliced from 11 exons. NCBI's taxonomy places the organism in Eukaryota, Metazoa, Chordata, Aves, Galliformes, Numididae.